UCUUCAUUUAACGUACUCUCUCACCGGUCAGAGUGACGAGAGAGUGUGUGAAAUGAAGAGA
Molecule: non-coding RNA, 61 nt
Organism: Pristionchus pacificus
Lineage: Eukaryota; Metazoa; Nematoda; Chromadorea; Rhabditida; Neodiplogasteridae
Source: Rfam